Molecule: ribosomal RNA, 254 nt
Filed under: Paranephrops zealandicus
Lineage: Eukaryota; Metazoa; Arthropoda; Malacostraca; Decapoda; Parastacidae
Description: partial 12S ribosomal RNA
Source: RNAcentral
AGGCUUGAAAUUCAAAGAAUUUGGCGGUAUUUUAGUCUAGUUAGAGGAACCUGUUUUAUAAAUGAUACAACACGUAAAAUCUUACUAGUUUUUGUAAAACAGCUUGUAUACCGUCAUUAUUAGAUAACUUUUAUAGAAAGAGUUAUUGAGAGUAUAAAUUUAAGUAUAUUAGAUCAAGGUGCAGCUAAUGAAUUAGUAAAAAUGGGUUACAAUAAAAUUAAUUAUUACGAAUUAGAAUUUGAAUAAAUUUUAUG